GAUGAACGCUGGCGGCGUGCUUAACACAUGCAAGUCGAACGGAAAGGCUCCUGCUUGCAGGGGUACUCGAGUGGCGAACGGGUGAGUAACACGUGGGUGAACUGCCCUGCACUUCGGGAUAAGCCUGGGAAACUGGGUCUAAUACCGGAUAGGACGAUGGUUUGGAUGCCAUUGUGGAAAGUUUUUCGGUGUGGGAUGAGCUCGCGGCCUAUCAGCUUGUUGGUGGGGUAAUGGCCUACCAAGGCGUCGACGGGUAGCCGGCCUGAGAGGGUGUACGGCCACAUUGGGACUGAGAUACGGCCCAGACUCCUACGGGAGGCAGCAGUGGGGAAUAUUGCACAAUGGGCGCAAGCCUGAUGCAGCGACGCCGCGUGGGGGAUGACGGCCUUCGGGUUGUAAACUCCUUUCGCUAGGGACGAAGCGCAAGUGACGGUACCUGGAGAAGAAGCACCGGCUAACUACGUG
This 465-nucleotide ribosomal RNA is filed under the name uncultured bacterium. RNAcentral describes it as "partial 16S ribosomal RNA". It matches the Rfam family "Bacterial small subunit ribosomal RNA", at positions 28 to 507 of the family's 1533-position model. The record is from RNAcentral.